This 299-nucleotide small nuclear RNA is filed under the name Carlito syrichta (Philippine tarsier). RNAcentral describes it as "7SK RNA (ENSTSYG00000021210.2)". It matches the Rfam family "7SK RNA". Rfam says of the family: 7SK was discovered as an abundant small nuclear RNA in the mid-70s but a possible function has only recently been suggested. Two independent studies have found that 7SK RNA binds the CDK9/cyclin T complex (known as elongation factor P-TEFb). The record is from Rfam by way of RNAcentral. Lineage: Eukaryota; Metazoa; Chordata; Mammalia; Primates; Tarsiidae.
GGAUGUGAGGGCAAUCUGGCUAUGACAUCUGUCACCCCACUGAUCGCCGGGGUGGAUUGGGCUGGUCUAGUUGGCUAGAUGAGUGUCCCCCUCCUCCCUCACUGCUCCUGAAGCGGUGCUUUCCUAGAGGAGGACCCCUCUUUGGAAUGGUACACAAACUGCUGUGCUCCCCUGCUAGAAUCUCCAAACAAGCUCUCAAAGAUCAAGCUCUCGACGGCCUUGACUCCUGUCAUGCCUGUGUGUCCCAGGAGAGCAUACAGAUACAUAUGCAAAUGGGGAAAUAAAAAAGUCCAUGCUUU